RNAcentral lists this small nucleolar RNA (139 nucleotides) under Leptobrachium leishanense (Leishan spiny toad). RNAcentral describes it as "Small nucleolar RNA SNORA22 (ENSLLEG00000000915.1)". It matches the Rfam family "Small nucleolar RNA SNORA22". Rfam says of the family: ACA22 is a member of the H/ACA class of snoRNA that guide the sites of modification of uridines to pseudouridines. The record is from Rfam by way of RNAcentral. Lineage: Eukaryota; Metazoa; Chordata; Amphibia; Anura; Megophryidae.
CCGCACAGGGAACACCCAAGUGUGCUCUGUAGCUCCCUUGGUUCAUAUCCUGUGCUAAAUUGAUGUCUGUUCUUUUACCUCUGCGUUUGGGAUGAGUUUUUUUUAUUCUCCUGCACGUAUUCAGAAGCACAGUACAUUG